RNAcentral lists this unclassified non-coding RNA (405 nucleotides) under Hevea brasiliensis (rubber tree). Lineage: Eukaryota; Viridiplantae; Streptophyta; Magnoliopsida; Malpighiales; Euphorbiaceae. The record is from RNAcentral.
AAAGAAUUUUGCAGUAGGGGAUAAAUUUAAUGUUUGCCAGACAGUAUUUCAUUCUUGUUGUCUAUUUUGAAAUAACGUGUACCAUGAAGGGCAAAUAUUCCUAGUGAGUAGUGAAAUUUGUUAAAGGAAUCCUCAUUUGCUUAGCUUGAAACAACUCAGCCAUGGACUUUGGUAAACUGAUGUACUAGAGAUCCUCUUUAUUCCAUUUAUGCAACAAUGCUCUAGUUAUCUUAUUAAUUAUAUGCUUAAUCCAAUGCAUUCAUGAUAUCAGUGAAUCCCAGCUAUGAAGUGGCUGCUUCAUUUUCAUAAUUCAUCAUUCUACUUAGUUUACUGGCAGUUUGUUGACGUCACUAACUUCCGGGUUUUGUCUGAUGCAAUUUCAGAAUGGGAAGAUAUCAAUGUUGU